This 2176-nucleotide long non-coding RNA is filed under the name Homo sapiens (human). Its description in RNAcentral is "uncharacterized LOC100505782 (LOC100505782)". The record is from RNAcentral. Lineage: Eukaryota; Metazoa; Chordata; Mammalia; Primates; Hominidae.
GGUUCUUGUUGCUUUGGAGACCACAGGAGAGGCGGUGGUGAUGGCCCAUCGCUUCAGCCCUGUGGCAUCCCCACAGGAUCCAUGGGCAUCAAGUAAUUUCCCUGUGCUCCUCUGAAGAUAAACCGCUGCCUGCACCAGCCUAGCAGCUUCCAGAAGCUGUGGAUGAGAAGCAAUCUCCCACCAAAAGCCAGAGCUCACCUGCAAAGCUUCAAUCCCAAGCAGAAGGAAGCCUCCGUUUUUUCCCCCCAGAUGAGCCUGAAUUCACCUCCAGAAAGUCUCAAUGCAUCACACCAAGGGUCACACACCUGCUCAUGGUUCUUCUUGAGGCAAAGCAGCUCCUCCUUCAGGGACUCCAGCUGGGCCUCCAGGUCACACUUGGCGAGGGUGAGGUUGUCUAGCACCCUGCGCAGGCCACAGAUGUCAGCCUCCACCAGCUGUUGCAGCGAGCGCUCUCUCUCGUACCUGUAACAGGGAAAGUGCAGGAGUGACAGUUAGAGGGCAGGAAGGGGCACCAGGACAUGACUCCCAGCUCGCAGCUGUAAGUCCACUGGCCUGCCCUUUGCCAUCUAAUUGUGAGUUGGCUUAUCCUGUGUAGUGUGCUCAAAGCCCAGAAAGCAACAGGAUGUUCCCCACUCAGUCAAUACUAAGCACCUGAGAUGAACCAAGGGGAGCAGCUGGUACUGAGGAUACUGUGAUGGACACACAGCCAGCACCUGCCUUUACACACAAUGGCCCAAAAGGGAGGUGGCAAAGUAACCAGGCAUUUGCAACACAGUGCAAUCACUGCAGGCCCCUCUCUACAAGCCCCAUACCCAAAGGGACCCUGGAUUCCCUAUUAGAGUAAAAGCCACAUUGCCAGCAUGAGAGGAAGGAAAUGGCUUUCUUUAGCUCUAGAAGAGUGAGACUUGCACAGUGCCCCGAAGAAAGAUGAUAAAACACAAUGCCCUUCCAGCACCCAGGGUAGACCCUCCUCAGGUGGUGUCAACCCUUUGACUUUCACAUGUUUUCAUCUUAGGCUAUGGAGCAUGAUUUCUGCUAUGAAUUAUCAGCACUCACAAAUUAAUCAAGCUGCAGCACAGAAACAUAUCCUUAUUAAGGCAACAGUUUCACAGGAAAUUGCUUCAAGAAAGGAAAAUUUGGUACAAAAUUUAAGGCCAAGUCCCAGCUCUGCCACUCGGUACCCACAUGGCUUCUGGCAAGUCACACCAGCACCCCAAGCCUCAGGGUCCCCACCUGUGGAGGAGAUUCUAUCCCUGCCCGCCUGCUUCACAAGUUGCUUACCAGGUGGAUGAUGCAUUCUAGCACAUGUUGUAAACUGUUAAUGCUAAACCACUGGAGAGCGGAUAGUUUUUCAGGAUCUUGAGCUUAAUGCCCUUUGUUCUCUUCUGCUAUAACUACUGGGUUGGGGUCUGGGUCAAUGACAUCCGAUGCCACAUGAGACAGAAGCAGCCAACUUGGCAUUGUCCCAUCCCCAUCCAACCCCAACUCUCACUUGGCUCCUUCCCAUCCCUGUCCAACCCCAACUCACUUGGUCCUGAAGUCAUCUGCAGCCAAUUUGGCAUUGUCUAUUUGCACAACCAGCCUAUUGUUCUCCGAUUUGGUGCACAGAAUCUGGGGUAAGAAAGUAGGCUCAGUAAGUGACUUACUGAUCCCAGAGACACCUAUAGCCUCAGGUGAGAGGAAGUUUUAUUGGCUGAAGUUGAACCUACAGCAUCCGCCUGGACAACACAAACUCCCAAACGUGCAAGAGAUGCUUUUGUGGUGUGGGAAGGAAGAUGUGCAAGAGACUUCUUGGAAAAGGAUGAAGACAUAGAGUCAAAGGAACCAGGAGAUGGAAGACAGUAGCAAACUGAACAUAUAACAAAGACUUGCUUUCAUUUUGCCAGAUAUGAUGCUUAGCCCAAUAUAAAUAAGAAGAUCUGGCCGGACGCAGUGGCUCAUGCCUGUAAUCCCCGCACUUUGGGAGACCAAGGCAGAUGGAUCACCUGAGACAGCUGCAAAGAUUUCGAGGUGGAAGAGAGCUCACUGAGAGACCGGAAAAAGACUUCAUGGAGUAGGGGAUUUUCCAAAUAUGUUUUGAAUGAUAUUUUUUAUAAAGGGUUGGGGAAUGAGCUUCUCUCAUAGAGAACAAAAUAAACACAAUCAAACAUUUGGAAAAUGAAAAAAAAAAAAAAAA